CGCCGUGCGCGUGCUAUAAUGCAGUCGAACGCACUAGUUUACUAGUGAGUGGCGAACGGGUGAGUAACACGUAGGUAAUCUGCCCUUAAGACGAGGAUAACCGUUGGAAACGAUGGCUAAGACUGGAUAGGAACAUUAAAGGCAUCUUUGAUGUUUUAAAAGACCUAGUAAUAGGUAUGCUUAAGGAGGAACCUGCGGCGCAUUAGUUAGUUGGUAGUGUAAUGGACUACCAAGACGAUGAUGCGUAGCCGGACUGAGAGGUUGAACGGCCACAUUGGGACUGAGACACGGCCCAAACUCCUACGGGAGGCAGCAGUAGGGAAUUUUCGGCAAUGGGGGAAACCCUGACCGAGCAACGCCGCGUGAAUGACGAAGUACUUCGGUAUGUAAAGUUCUUUUAUCAAGGAAGAAUGACUUAUGGAAAAAUAAGUGUGACGGUACUUGAUGAAUAAGCCCCGGCUAACUAUGUGCCAGCAGCCGCGGUAAUACAUAGGGGGCAAGCGUUAUCCGGAAUUAUUGGGCGUAAAGGGUGCGUAGGUGGCCUGUUAAGUCUGAGGUGUAAGUGCAGUGCUUAACGCUGUGAUGCUUUAGAAACUGGCAGGCUUGAGUGUGGUAGAGGUAAGUAGAAUUCCAUGUGUAGCGGUAAAAUGCGUAAAUAUAUGGAGGAAUACCAGUGGCGAAGGCGGCUUACUGGGCCACAACUGACACUGAGGCACGAAAGCGUGGGGAGCAAACAGGAUUAGAUACCCUGGUAGUCCACGCCGUAAACGAUGAGUACUAAGUGUUGGAGAAAUUCAGUGCUGUAGUUAACGCAAUAAGUACUCCGCCUGAGUAGUACGUGCGCAAGCAUGAAACUCAAAGGAAUUGACGGGACCCCGCACAAGCGGUGGAUCAUGUUGUUUAAUUCGAUGAUACGCGAAAAACCUUACCAGGUCUUGACAUACCAUGCAAAGCUAUAGAGAUAUAGUGGAGGUAUCAUGGAUACAGGUGGUGCAUGGUUGUCGUCAGCUCGUGUCGUGAGAUGUUGGGUUAAGUCCCGCAACGAGCGCACCCUUAUUGCUAGUUCCCUCAUUAAGUGGGGAA
RNAcentral lists this ribosomal RNA (1083 nucleotides) under Mycoplasmatota bacterium. RNAcentral describes it as "bacterial SSU rRNA". It matches the Rfam family "Bacterial small subunit ribosomal RNA", at positions 38 to 1137 of the family's 1533-position model. The record is from RNAcentral. Lineage: Bacteria; Bacillati; Mycoplasmatota.